AAUGAUUUAAUCCUCUGCCAAAUAUGGUUUCAAAGAUACAAUCUCAAAACCAGGAUAAAGCUAAAGCAUACAAAUAAACAAGAACUUAUAACAACUAAAAGAAAUGAUAAAGAAGAAAGACACCAUAGGUGCCCAAGCGUUUAGCUUGUUUUUUUUUCGUUAUCCGGUGCUCUAAGGAAGAUGGAAUAUGGUGAUUCCUUGCUCGGGGAAUGUUGAGUUUGGAGUGAGACUCUAAUGCGAGAGUCUCGGAUUAGGACUCCAUUUGCUCCAAAUAUACGCAAAGGAAAUAAAAGGAAAAGAAAAUUAGAAGAGAAACAUUAUUUGUUAAAGACAUAUAAAGAUGAGGCAUAUAAAAUUAAAUUGUAUCAUUCUUCAAUUUUGGUUCAAUCUAUAUAUAAGAGCAACAGUGUAAGUACCUUUUAGCUGUUAACAGAAAAGGAUGUCAAUGAACAAAUCAUAAUUAUUUCCUUAAGGCCAUCAAAAUAAGCUGAACUUAGUUCUUAAAGCUAUAAGAGAUUAUGACAGCAAAAAUACAACUAACAGUUUCAUCUAUAUCAUAAUUAGAGGAUCAUACUAUAUGUAAUAAAGACAACAUCAAUGCUACAAAUAAGAGGACACGCACACAAUCCAGUCAUGAGAAACAGUGAAGGGCUUCUUGUAUUUCACAAACAAGUACGCCCCAUAAGCAUGAGUUUCUAAUUAAGGAUCUUAAAAAAAACUAAACUAUAAAAGAUCCAUGAAGGUCUCACAAGUUGGUGUUUCAGUCACAAACAUGGAAACAAUGUAAGAAAAAUUCAUAAGCUGGCAUUUCAGACAUAAAACACGAAUUAUAUAAGGGGGAUAAGUGUUCAUAUGUUUAGGCCAAACAAUAACAGCAAGUGUGAUGCCUAGAUAAGUCUAUAAGAUGGCGAGAUUUCAACAAGACUAAACACUGUUAUUUAAUAGUCAUUUAGCUUAGAUCUUUACUAAGUUAUAACAUAAAGAGAACCUUACGUCGAAAUCUUUAGUAGAUAUUUUGUCCAGUAAACCAAAUUAACUUUGCUUUCUAUACUUCAAUGACACCAUCUUAAGAAAGGAUCUCGAAAACCAGGUCCAUUAAAAUACAUAUAAAAUUUUCCAGUCAUAAAAGGUCAUUAACAGGUGCAAACACUAUAAAUAUACCUGCAUACUAGUUAACAAUAAGAGAGGAUCACAACUUGGUUUGAGUUGUAUUAUUUGCUUUCGACAGUAACUAAAAGGGUCUUAUUGCGACUAGUUCAGAGCUAAUUAAAUUUUGCAACUAUGGUCUUUAAGUUUCAAGCAAAAUCUAAAACCGGGAAUCCUUAUAAUAAGAAAAUAUAAAUAAGUUAACUUAUAAGAGUUAUAUCUUUUACAAGAGAGAGCAUAUGAGCCUUUCAUCCAUAUUAACUAAUCAGAAAUCAACAAGAAGCAUCCCGGAUAAUUAAUCAAAUAACAGAAAAUAUAGAGCUCAUUGCCAACUAGAUACUGAAAAGAAAAGAAAAAAUCUAGGAAUGAAACAAAAAGAAAGAUACCGACCUUUUGCGCGGCAGUGAACUGAGGCGCGGAUCUUAGAUGCACUAUUGAGCUCCGACCUCGAACCCGCUUCUUAAAAACAGCUAGUAAACGUUGAAGCGAGCAAAUUAACAGAUAUGUUAUGAUAAAAAGAGAACCAAAUAGAAGCUAAAAGGUCGCACAACGAUAACACUAGAUUUUAGAGAGUAGUAAAAAUAUAAGCUUCUAAAUGGCGACAAAAGCUUAAGGAUUUUUAAGGGAAAGGUGCUGCUGAAACUUUCACUUUGGGGGUGAAAGUGGGCGGCCAAGAGCCAUCAAUUUUUAGGGAAAAAGGGGGCGGCUCCAAAAAAAUCCCCAAUAACAGCUCCAAACAAUGGUAUUUAUAUGGAAAAAAACAUUUGAAUUUCGGAUUUCAAAAGAAGUCGAAAGGAGCCGUUUGAAUUCGAUUUUUUGAAUUCAUAAUCAGACAAAUGAAAAAAUCCAGCUCUUCAGUGAGGUUGCAGGGAAAGAAAAAGAUAAAAAUUGAUGCAAAGAGACGUUGGGUCUAAGCAAGGAUGAGUUUGUGCAAAGAUUUCGUGUACUUCUUCUGUCCAAAGCUGGAAAGCGCUGAGAUUUAGCAUGAAAGAGGAAAGAUGGGGUGUCUGAAGUAGUUUAGAAACUAGGGUUUUGUAAUCUUAUUAGGUUAUUUGGGCUACUAAGACAGGCACCUUAAAAGGCUUGGGUUUUUGGGCUCUU
Molecule: long non-coding RNA, 2247 nt
Filed under: Nicotiana benthamiana
Lineage: Eukaryota; Viridiplantae; Streptophyta; Magnoliopsida; Solanales; Solanaceae
Description: long non-coding RNA (NBEN_LNC032762)
Source: RNAcentral